AUUAUCCUCAUAAGUUAGACGAAAAGAGGGACCGCAUAUUAAAUUAUAUUCUCUCUCCCUUUCGGGGGUAUUGAUAAUAUAAAUAAUAAGGCGGUGGCACAGAAUCGGAGGCCCCGACUGUUUACUAAAAACACAACACAGUGCAAUCAUUAAUAUGAUAGUAUACUGUGUGAAAUUUGCCCGAUGCCAUUAAUAUAAGAGCGGUCAUGGGGAACUGUGACUAAUCGAAAAUCUGGUUAAUAGCGGUCUUAACUAUGAGGAUCCUAAGGUAGCAAAAUAAAUUGGCCAUUAAAUGUGGUCCGGUAUCAAUAAUGUAACGAUGGCCUCACUGUCUCUACAACUUGCUCAGUGAAAUUGAAUUACGCGUGCA
Molecule: ribosomal RNA, 370 nt
Filed under: Limnoperdon incarnatum
Lineage: Eukaryota; Fungi; Basidiomycota; Agaricomycetes; Agaricales; Limnoperdaceae
Description: LSU rRNA
Rfam family: Bacterial large subunit ribosomal RNA
Source: RNAcentral